RNAcentral lists this transfer RNA (63 nucleotides) under Protohermes hainanensis. Its description in RNAcentral is "tRNA-Phe". The record is from RNAcentral. Lineage: Eukaryota; Metazoa; Arthropoda; Insecta; Megaloptera; Corydalidae.
AUUUAAAUAGCUUAAGAAGAGCAUAACAUUGAAGCUGUUAGGGUGAUUAAUUAUCUUUAAAUA